UGAGGAAUAUUGCCCAAUGGGGGAAACCCUGAGGCAGCAACGCCGCGUGAACGACGAAGACCUUCGGGUUGUAAAGUUCUUUUCUGAAGGAAGAUAAUGACGGUACUUCAGGAAUAAGCUCCGGCUAACUACGUGCCAGCAGCCGCGGUAAAACGUAGGGGGCAAGCGUUAUCCGGAUUUACUGGGCGUAAAGCGCCCGUAGGCGGACAGGCAAGUUGGACGUGAAAGCUCCUGGCUUAACUGGGAGAGGUCGUUCAAGACUGCCUAUCUAGAGGUUGGCAUAGGCGUGUGGAAUUCCCGGUGUAGAGGUGGAAUGCGUAGAUAUCGGGAGGAAGACCAGUGGCGAAAGCGAUGCGCUGGGUCAAACCUGACGCUGAGGGGCGAAAGCGUGGGGAGCGAACGGGGAUUAGAUACCCCGGUAGUCCACGCUGUAAACGAUGGAUACUAGGUGUAGGCGGUUAUUUACCCCGUCUGUGCCGCAGCCAACGCGUUAAGUAUCCCGCCUGGGGAGUACGACCGCAAGGUUAAACU
Molecule: ribosomal RNA, 531 nt
Filed under: uncultured bacterium
Lineage: Bacteria
Description: bacterial SSU rRNA
Rfam family: Bacterial small subunit ribosomal RNA
Source: RNAcentral